This 537-nucleotide ribosomal RNA is filed under the name Kocuria sp. x4r5. RNAcentral's name for it is "bacterial SSU rRNA". It matches the Rfam family "Bacterial small subunit ribosomal RNA", at positions 103 to 652 of the family's 1533-position model. The record is from RNAcentral. Lineage: Bacteria; Bacillati; Actinomycetota; Actinomycetes; Micrococcales; Micrococcaceae.
CGGGUGAGUAAUACGUGAGUAACCUGCCCUUGACUCUGGGAUAAGCCUGGGAAACUGGGUCUAAUACUGGAUACUACCUCUUACCGCAUGGUGGGUGGUGGAAAGGGUUUUACUGGUUUUGGAUGGGCUCACGGCCUAUCAGCUUGUUGGUGGGGUAAUGGCUCACCAAGGCGACGACGGGUAGCCGGCCUGAGAGGGUGACCGGCCACACUGGGACUGAGACACGGCCCAGACUCCUACGGGAGGCAGCAGUGGGGAAUAUUGCACAAUGGGCGGAAGCCUGAUGCAGCGACGCCGCGUGAGGGAUGACGGCCUUCGGGUUGUAAACCUCUUUCAGUAGGGAAGAAGCGAGAGUGACGGUACCUGCAGAAGAAGCGCCGGCUAACUACGUGCCAGCAGCCGCGGUAAUACGUAGGGCGCAAGCGUUGUCCGGAAUUAUUGGGCGUAAAGAGCUCGUAGGCGGUUUGUCGCGUCUGCUGUGAAAGCCCGGGGCUCAACCCCGGGUCUGCAGUGGGUACGGGCAGACUAGAGUGCAGU